Non-coding RNA from Pseudonaja textilis, 99 nucleotides. Lineage: Eukaryota; Metazoa; Chordata; Lepidosauria; Squamata; Elapidae. The record is from RefSeq and is a predicted model, not a curated record.
UCAAAUGCCAUCUCAACUGAGACAUUCCUCCAGAAACUCCUCUCCAGGUGCAGAGUUACUUGUCCUUGACUUCUAAGAAAGAAGGUAAUUGACUCAAAA